CCUGCCAUUAGUGUGAGUCCGUGUAUGAAUGUGAGGCAUCAUUGUAAAGGACUUUGUGUGUCUACAACAAAUAGAAAAGUGUUGUAUACAGUAAACACAUUCCAUUUUUAAUUUGUUGUUACUGUAUUUAUCAGAGUCAAUGUUUCUGCUUCCAAAAUCCAGCCAUCUUACAAGCAUAAAAUCCCUCAGCGAAGAAGCUUUGACCCUGGUGAUAGUUGUGGAUUGCCAUCGCAGUGUCUCUUAGGACAGUCCUAUGCAAUUCGGAGAAAGGUGCCAAAUAUCGGCAACCUAGACCUUCGGAGCAAUCUGAAAAAGAAGAACUUCACCAGAUUUGAGAAUAAGGGAAUGAAUCCCUCAGAGCCAAAGGAGUCUGGUAGCCUACACCCUGACCAGAUUACCCGCCUGCCUCGUUUCAACUUCAGACACUCUGGUCCAAAGAAGAGACUUUAGACUACGCAUCUUACCAUGCAUUUAGAAACUGUAAAAUUCUAUUCUAAUGUUUUGUAGUUAUUGUAAGCCAUUUGAUAGCAGUAACACCCAAAGUCAUCUGUACGUGGAUUUCUGUAAGUUUUAUUUGUACCACGUUUCCUUGCUGUGUCUCAGUAAAACCUGUGCUGUUAUGAUU
Long non-coding RNA from Thalassophryne amazonica, 625 nucleotides. RefSeq lists it as uncharacterized. Lineage: Eukaryota; Metazoa; Chordata; Actinopteri; Batrachoidiformes; Batrachoididae. The record is from RefSeq and is a predicted model, not a curated record. The transcript has 3 exons.